This 73-nucleotide transfer RNA is filed under the name Methanothermus fervidus DSM 2088. Its description in RNAcentral is "tRNA-Asn (GTT) (tRNA-Asn-GTT-1-1)". It matches the Rfam family "tRNA". From Rfam's summary of the family: Transfer RNA (tRNA) molecules are approximately 80 nucleotides in length. Their secondary structure includes four short double-helical elements and three loops (D, anti-codon, and T loops). Lineage: Archaea; Methanobacteriati; Methanobacteriota; Methanobacteria; Methanobacteriales; Methanothermaceae. The record is from Rfam by way of RNAcentral.
GCCGCCGUAGCUCAGUAGGUAGAGCGCUCGGCUGUUAACCGAGUGGUCGCAGGUUCGAGUCCUGCCGGCGGCG